Molecule: long non-coding RNA, 1456 nt
Organism: Oreochromis aureus
Lineage: Eukaryota; Metazoa; Chordata; Actinopteri; Cichliformes; Cichlidae
Source: Ensembl
CUGGAGCGGAUCCACAUCUAGUGCUGUUAUCUCUGAGGAACACUCCAGUCACAGGACUGAGUGUGUCACCUGCACAAAUGUUGAUGGGGCGGGUUCUCCGCAGCACACUGCCAUGCGCCAGUGCUGUGUUGAGACAGUCAACCCCACAGAACCUUCACGUUAAAGUGCGUGGACUGCAGUCAAAAAGGAAAUACCACUUUGAUCAGCAUGCAAGACCAUUGCCUGUUUUGACCUCAGGCGAUACUGUGCACAUGCAAACAUGGCGCGGUUGGGAGCCGGCUGUUGUAGCACAUCAGCGAGAGGAACCACGCUCCUACGCUGUGCAAACACCAGAGGGUGAGGUGCUCAGGCGGAACAGGAGACAUCUGAGGAAAAUACACCCAAGUCUGUUUAAGGAUACAUCCAUGGACCCAGAUGAUCUGUCUGAACACACCGAAGAGCCAGUUGCGCCAUCAGCAAGUGACACUCCACAACACCCUCGUCCUGCAACUUAUCACACAGUUGAUUUCCAUGUGUGACAACUGCAAGUGUCCAGAGUGAGGACAGACUGAGGGACCCACUGCUGCACAUCAUCUGUGAGGCUUUGCACCCCUGAUGAUCCACCAGGACAAACUCAGCAGUGUGUGAGGAAGAGGAGGAGGAAGAGCCAGCAGCAGCUGACAGAUGGAGAGAAUAGACAGACUGUUCCCUGUUUGUGAAGGACUGCUAGAAAAGUUUAAAAUAACUAAUUGUCUGUCCUGAAUCAGUCUCAUUAGGUAAUGUUCAAAUAAUGUUAUCAUUCCAGUGUUUUCAGUGUGGGAGAAAGUACUCAGGGCCUUCAGGUUACACACUAUGAAAGGCAGCAACACGUUUAAUAUUCCGAAACCUAAAGUAUGUAUCAGCAGCAGAAUGGACCUAAAAAUAAAUGUUUGUUUCAGUUCUAUGAAGCUUUGAGUAUUUUGGAUUAGUAGCACUGCUGUGUUUGUUGCAUCAUAUUGCUGUAAUUGUUUAUAUGCUUUAUAUAUUCUGAGCUAAGUUGAUCUAUAGUGUUACAUCAUAUUCUAUAAGGAUGUUAUGUGUUUGUAUAGUUUCUGCCCAGUUUGACCCAUUUAGCAGAAGUCAGCCUGUUUAAGGCUCUGAUAUCUAUUCUGUAUGACUUAAAGCAGUUAUGACAUGGUCUGAUUUUCUCACCCAAUAAAGGAAUAUUUCAUAUAUCAGUCUACUCUUCAUUCUAUCAGAAACAGUUAUCACAGCUCAUACAUUUUCUUUUUACACAUAUAUAAGCAUUGAACCAAAUUUAGUAAUGCCAACAUAUUAAAAGAACAAUGUUUGUCUCUUAUAUAUAAUACAUCUGUAUAUACACUGUCAGAGAUACUUGUCUUUGACUGAAGAUUUAAGGUGAUAGGACAUAUAAAUAACUGCUACUUGCAUCUUUGACCCAGAGUUCAAGCUCAUAUAUAUAUAUAUAUAUAAUCUG